CCUACGGGAGGCAGCAGUGGGGAAUAUUGCGCAAUGGGCGAAAGCCUGACGCAGCGACGCCGCGUGAGGGAUGAAGGUCUUCGGAUCGUAAACCUCUGUCAGCAGGAAAGAACGGUCACUGUGCUAAUCAGCAGUGAAUUGACGGUACCUGCAAAGUAAGCACCGGCUAACUCCGUGCCAGCAGCCGCGGUAAUACGGCGGGUGCGAGCUUUAAUCGGAAUUACUGGGCGUAAAGCGCUCGUAGGCGGUAUGUCAAGUCAAGGGUGAAAUCCCCGCGCUCAACGUGGGAACUGCCUGUGAAACUGGCAAACUGGAGUGUGUGAGAGGAUAGUGGAAUUCCAGGUGUAGGAGUGAAAGCCGUAGAUAUCUGGAGGAACAUCAGUGGCGAAGGCGACUAUCUGGCACAUAACUGACGCUGAGGAGCGAAAGCGUGGGUAGCAAACAGGAUUAGAUACCCCUGUAGUC
RNAcentral lists this ribosomal RNA (465 nucleotides) under uncultured bacterium. Its description in RNAcentral is "partial 16S ribosomal RNA". It matches the Rfam family "Bacterial small subunit ribosomal RNA", at positions 338 to 795 of the family's 1533-position model. The record is from RNAcentral.